GAUGAACGCUGGCGGCGUGCCUAAUACAUGCAAGUCGAGCGAACGGACGAGAAGCUUGCUUCUCUGAUGUUAGCGGCGGACGGGUGAGUAACACGUGGAUAACCUACCUAUAAGACUGGGAUAACUUCGGGAAACCGGAGCUAAUACCGGAUAAUAUUUUGAACCGCAUGGUUCAAAAGUGAAAGACGGUCUUGCUGUCACUUAUAGAUGGAUCCGCGCUGCAUUAGCUAGUUGGUAAGGUAACGGCUUACCAAGGCAACGAUGCAUAGCCGACCUGAGAGGGGAACCGGCCACACGGAAACUGAGACACGGUCCAGACCCCUACGGAGGGCAGAGGUAGGGAAUCUUCCGCAAGGGGCGAAAGCCUGACGGAGCAACGCGGCGGGGGGGAUGAAGGCCUUCGGAUCGUAAACCCCUGUUAUUAGGGAGAACAUAUGUGUAAGUAACUGUGCACAUCUUGACGGUACCUAAUCAGAAAGCCACGGCUAACUACGUG
This 496-nucleotide ribosomal RNA is filed under the name uncultured bacterium. RNAcentral describes it as "partial 16S ribosomal RNA". It matches the Rfam family "Bacterial small subunit ribosomal RNA", at positions 28 to 507 of the family's 1533-position model. The record is from RNAcentral.